Molecule: ribosomal RNA, 1372 nt
Filed under: uncultured bacterium
Lineage: Bacteria
Description: bacterial SSU rRNA
Rfam family: Bacterial small subunit ribosomal RNA
Source: RNAcentral
GAUGAACGCUGGCGGCGUGCCUAAUACAUGCAAGUCGAGCGAACGGACGAGAAGCUUGCUUCUCUGAUGUUAGCGGCGGACGGGUGAGUAACACGUGGAUAACCUACCUAUAAGACUGGGAUAACUUCGGGAAACCGGAGCUAAUACCGGAUAAUAUUUUGAACCGCAUGGUUCAAAAGUGAAAGACGGUCUUGCUGUCACUUAUAGAUGGAUCCGCGCUGCAUUAGCUAGUUGGUAAGGUAACGGCUUACCAAGGCAACGAUGCAUAGCCGACCUGAGAGGGUGAUCGGCCACACUGGAACUGAGACACGGUCCAGACUCCUACGGGAGGCAGCAGUAGGGAAUCUUCCGCAAUGGGCGAAAGCCUGACGGAGCAACGCCGCGUGAGUGAUGAAGGUCUUCGGAUCGUAAAACUCUGUUAUUAGGGAAGAACAUAUGUGUAAGUAACUGUGCACAUCUUGACGGUACCUAAUCAGAAAGCCACGGCUAACUACGUGCCAGCAGCCGCGGUAAUACGUAGGUGGCAAGCGUUAUCCGGAAUUAUUGGGCGUAAAGCGCGCGUAGGCGGUUUUUUAAGUCUGAUGUGAAAGCCCACGGCUCAACCGUGGAGGGUCAUUGGAAACUGGAAAACUUGAGUGCAGAAGAGGAAAGUGGAAUUCCAUGUGUAGCGGUGAAAUGCGCAGAGAUAUGGAGGAACACCAGUGGCGAAGGCGACUUUCUGGUCUGUAACUGACGCUGAUGUGCGAAAGCGUGGGGAUCAAACAGGAUUAGAUACCCUGGUAGUCCACGCCGUAAACGAUGAGUGCUAAGUGUUAGGGGGUUUCCGCCCCUUAGUGCUGCAGCUAACGCAUUAAGCACUCCGCCUGGGGAGUACGACCGCAAGGUUGAAACUCAAAGGAAUUGACGGGGACCCGCACAAGCGGUGGAGCAUGUGGUUUAAUUCGAAGCAACGCGAAGAACCUUACCAAAUCUUGACAUCCUUUGACAACUCUAGAGAUAGAGCUUUCCCCUUCGGGGGACAAAGUGACAGGUGGUGCAUGGUUGUCGUCAGCUCGUGUCGUGAGAUGUUGGGUUAAGUCCCGCAACGAGCGCAACCCUUAAGCUUAGUUGCCAUCAUUAAGUUGGGCACUCUAAGUUGACUGCCGGUGACAAACCGGAGGAAGGUGGGGAUGACGUCAAAUCAUCAUACCCCUUAUGAUUUGGGCUACACACGUGCUACAAUGGACAAUACAAAGGGCAGCGAAACCGCGAGGUCAAGCAAAUCCCAUAAAGUUGUUCUCAGUUCGGAUUGUAGUCUGCAACUCGACUACAUGAAGCUGGAAUCGCUAGUAAUCGUAGAUCAGCAUGCUACGGUGAAUACGUUCCCGGGUCU